CUGACACAGCGACAUAAAAAAAGAAAGAAAGACAUGGAAACUUCAGUUCCACAGGCCAGAACUACCCUGACUCCUCCCUCCCUAUCGGAUUAUUUCCCUCCACCUACAACUCAGAGAUGUCAAAGGGCCCAGAAUUUCUUCCCUCCACCUCCAGUGGAGCCCAUCGUGGUUGAGGAGCCCAUCUCUCCACCAGUUAAUCCCAUCGUGAUGGAACUGCCCAACUCUCCACCAGUGAAGCCCAUUGUGGUUGAGCUGCCCAUCUCUCCACCAGUGGAGCCCAUUGUGGUUGAGCUGCCCAUCUCUCCACCAGUGAAACCCAUCAUGGUUGAGCUGCCCAUCUCUCCACCAGUGAAGCCCAUCGUGGUCGACCAUCCCAUCUCUCCACUAGUGAAGCCCGUAAUGGUUGAGCUGCCAAUCUCUCCACCAGUGAAGCUCACAGUGGUUGAGCUGCCCAUCUUUCCACCAGUAAAGCCUGUUGUGGUUGAGCUGCCCAUCUCUCCACCAGUGAAACCCAUCGUGAUGGAGCUGCCCAUCUCUCCACCUGUGAAACCCAUCAUGGUUGAGCUGCCCAUCUCUCCACCAGUGAAACCCAUAAUGGUGUGGUUGCCCACCUCUCCACCAUUGAAACCAGUCGUGGUUGAACGGCCCAUCUCUCCACCAGUGAAACCCAUCAUGGUUGAGCUGCCCAUCUCUCCACCAGUGAAGCACGUCAUGUUUGAGCUGCCGAUUGCUCCAGUGGAAGCUGAGUCACUUCAGAGAUUUGAGGGUCUGACACAGCGACAUAAAAAAAGAAAGAAAGACAUGGAAACUUCAGUUCCACAGACCAGAACUACCCUGACUCCUCCCUCCCUAUCGGAUUAUUUCGCUCCACCUACAACUCAGAGAUGUCAAAGGGCCCAGGAUUUCUUCCCUCCACCUCCAGUGGAGCCCAUCGUGGUUGAGGAGCCCAACUCUACACAAGUGAAGCCCAUUGUGGUUGAGCUGCCCAUCUCUCCUCCAGUUGGGCCCAUUGUGGUUGAGGUGCCCAUCUCUCCACCAGUGAAACAAAUCAUGGUUGAUCUGCCCAUCUCUCCACCAGUGAAGCCCAUCGUGAUGGAGCUGCCCAACUCUACACCAGUGAAACCCAUCAAGGUUGAUCUGCCCAUCUCUCCACCAGUGAAACCCAUCAUGGUUGAGCUGCCCUUCUCUCCACCAGUGAAACACAUCAUGGUUGAGCUGCCCUUCUCUCCACCAGUGGAGCCCAUCGCUGUUGAGUUGCCCAUCUCUCCACCAGUGAAGCCUGUUGUGGUUGAGCUGCCCAUCUCUCCACCAGUGAAACCCAUCAUGGUUGAGCUGCCCAUCUCUCCACCAGUGAAGCACGUCAUGUUUGAGUUGUCGAUUGCUCCAGUGGAAACUGAGUCGCUUCAGAGUUUUGAGGGUCAGACACAGCGACAUAAAAAAAGAAAGAAAGACAUGGAAACUUCAGUUCCACAGACCAGAACUACCCUGACUCCUCCCUCCCUAUCGGAUUAUUUCGCUCCACCUACAACUCAGAGAUGUCAAAGGGCCCAGGAUUUCUUCCCUCCACCUCCAGUGGAGCCCAUCGUGGAUAAGGAGCCCAUCUCUCCACCAGUUAAUCCCAUCGUGAUGGAGCUGCCUAACUCUCCACCAGUGAAGCCCAUUGUGGUUGAGCUGCCCAUCUCUCCACCAGUGAAUCCCAUUUUUGUUGAGCUGCCCAUUUCGCCACCUGUGAAGCCCAUCAUGGUUGAGCUGCCCACCUCUCCACCAGUGAAACCCGUCGUGGUUGAACGGCCCAUGUCUCCACCAGUGAAGCCUAUCUUGGUCGACCAUCCCAUCUCUCCACCAGUGAACCAACAGGAUCAACCUGGUCAAGGGGCCAACUGGGAAAUAGAGGCUGGUUCUUCUCAGAUUGUCGAUGCUCCUGUCCAUCUCCUCUUCCCUGCUUCCUCUGAUCUCCCUCAGCAGAUCCCACAGGAGCAGCCUGGAGUCCUCACAGCAUUCCCUGGUCCUCUUACAAACGUUGGGACUCUUGAGGAGAUGAUUGAGGUUGCAUGGCAGAAGUGUCAGGAGUACCAAUCUAAGUUCUUCAUGUGGUACUUUGUUACCCUUUUGUGCACACAGAGUAGGGCACAGCCCAUCUUUCCUCCAGUGAAACCAAUCGUGGUCGAGCGUCCCAUCUCUCCACCAGUGAAACCCAUCGUGGUCGAGCGUCCCAUCUCUCCACCAGUGGAGCCCAUUGUGGUCGAGAGUCCUAUCUCUCCACCAGUGGAGCCCAUCGUGGUUGAACUCCCCAUCUUUCCACCAGUGAAGCAUGUUGUCGUUGAGCUGCCCAUCUCUCCACCAGUAAAUCCGAUCAUGGUUGAGCUCCCCAUCUUGCCACCAGUGAAACCCAUCAUGGUUGAGCUGCCGAUCGCUCCAGUCGAAGCUGAGUCGCUUCAGAGAUUUGAGGGUCUGACACAGCGACAUAAAAAAAGAAAGAAAGACAUGGAAACUUCAGUUCCACAGACCAGAACUACCCUGCCUCCUCCCUCCCUAUCGGAUUAUUUCGCUCCACCUACAACUCAGAGAUGUCAAAGGGCCCAGAAUUUCUUCCCUCCACCCCCAGUGGAGCCCAUCGUGGUUGAGGAGCCCAUCUCUCCACCAGUUAAUCCCAUCGUGAUGGAGCUGCCCAACUCUCCACCAGUGAAGCCCAUUGUGGUUGAGCUGCCCAUCUCUCCACCAGUGAAACCCAUCAUGGUUGAGCUGCCCAUCUCUCCACCAGUGAAACCCAUCAUGGUUGAGCUGCCCAUCUCUCCACCAGUGAAACCCAUCAUGGUUGAGCUGCCCAUCUCUCCACCAGUGAAGCUCACAGUGGUUGAGCUGCCCAUCUCUCCACCAGUGAAACCCAUCAUGGUUGAUCUGCACAUCUCUUCACCAGUGAAACCCAUAAUGGUUGAGCUCCCCAUCUCUCCACCUGUGAAACCCAUCAUGGUUGAGCUGCCAAUCUCUCCACCAGUGAAACCCAUCAUGGUUGAGCUGCCCAUCUCUCCACCAGUGAAACCCAUCAUGGUUGAGCUGCCCAUCUCUCCACCAGUGAAGCACGUCAUGGUUGAGCUCCCCAUCUCUCCACCAGUGAAACCCAUCAUGGUUGAGCUGCCCAUCUCUCCACCAGUGAAACCCAUCAUGGUUGAGCUGCCCAUCUCUCCACCAGUGAAACCCAUCAUGGUUGAGCUACCGAUCGCUCCAGUGGAAGCUGAGUCGCUUCAGAGAUUUGAGCCAAUGAAGGGUCAGACACAGCGACAUAAAAAAAGAAAGACAGACAUGGAAACUUCAGUUCCACAGACCAGAACUACCCUGACUCCUCCCUCCCUAUCGGAUUAUUUCGCUCCACCUACAACUCAGAGAUUUCAAAGGGCCCAGGAUUUCUUCCCUCCACCUCCAGUGGAGCCCAUCGUGGAUAAGGAGCCCAUCUCUCCAGCAGUGAAUCCCAUCCUGAUGGAGCUGCCCAACUCUCCACCAGUGAAGCCCAUUGUGGUUGAGCUGCCCAUCUCUCCACCAGUGAAUCCCAUUUUUGUUGAGCUGCCCAUUUCUCCACCUGUGAAGCCCAUCAUGGUUGAGCUGCCCACCUCUCCACCAGUGAAACCCGUCGUGGUUGAACGGCCCAUGUCUCCACCAGUGAAGCCUAUCUUGGUCGACCAUCCCAUCUCUCCACCAGUGAACCAACAGGAUCAACCUGGUCAAGGGGCCAACUGGGAAAUAGAGGCUGGUUCUUCUCAGAUUGUCGAUGCUCCUGUCCAUCUCCUCUUCCCUGCGUCCUCUGAUCUCCCUCAGCAGAUCCCACAGGAGCAGCCUGGAGUCCUCACAGCAUUCCCUGGUCCUCUUACAAACGUUGGGACUCUUGAGGAGAUGAUUGAGGUUGCAUGGCAGAAGUGUCAGGAGUACCAAUCUAAGUUCUUCAUGUGGUACUUUGUUACCCUUUUGUGCACGC
Long non-coding RNA from Salmo trutta (river trout), 3967 nucleotides. The record is from Ensembl. Lineage: Eukaryota; Metazoa; Chordata; Actinopteri; Salmoniformes; Salmonidae.